Gadus macrocephalus (Pacific cod) is the source of this 518-nucleotide long non-coding RNA. RefSeq lists it as uncharacterized. Lineage: Eukaryota; Metazoa; Chordata; Actinopteri; Gadiformes; Gadidae. The record is from RefSeq and is a predicted model, not a curated record. The transcript has 2 exons.
AUUACAAUUUUCUCUGUUUAGUUUGUUAUUUUAUUGAUUAACGAUGGGUGCUAAAUGCCAAAGCAAAUGUAGCGCAAAUGUCUUCUCGUAUUUGUAGUGCAACACGGACCAGGAUCAUACUGAGAAAAGCCCAAGGAGGGCAAAUGUAGCAGGCUGGAUUUUUUUGCUUGCAUGAAACAGGCCUGGAAAAGCGGGGCUGUUUGGGGCAGAUGGUGGGUUCAAGGGCCAUUGAAGUUUGACGUUUUUAAAACCGCUCAUUUUAUUUUAUGGCCCGGGAUACCUUGUUUUUGGGUUGUGCGUAUCCAUGUACAUGAGGACUUGGCUGUGCAACAACCCCUAGACUGACCUGUAUUUGCAUGCAUUUUUGCAUCAAACAAUUUGCAUCAUGUCUUUUGUUUUUUUAUGUUUCUCAAUAAGUUUCUCGCAAGCCCAUUCGGGCUGGACAUCAGUUAUGGUGAAACUAAGAAUCGAUAAUUAAAUCUUCAGCAAAUCAUCUAUUUUGGAGUUGAAAAACAUUA